Long non-coding RNA from Scleropages formosus (Asian bonytongue), 1554 nucleotides. The record is from Ensembl. NCBI's taxonomy places the organism in Eukaryota, Metazoa, Chordata, Actinopteri, Osteoglossiformes, Osteoglossidae.
GAAGAAAGGAUGAGAAGCAUAAUACAAGUAAAAGGGUGGCUAUACAUUAAAUUACUACAGUAACAAUGCAAUUAUUAAAGCAGUAAGUAAGCCAACUGGCCCUGCAUGGAUGAACAAAAAACCUCCAACCAAGAGGCAAGGGAAGAAAAAAUAACUCUGGGGGUCCAAGUGCCACAGGCUGACCACCCCUCCUGGGCAUUUUAGAUAAACACUUUUAACUAAAUUUACUGCUAUGUAUGACACCUUUUCUAGAUGCAAAUAAGUAGAUGUCUUGGUUCACAUAGGCAGGUCUCACCCACCAUGGCAUGCAGUCAUCAGCUUCCAUCAACACAGAGUGCUGUUGUCACAGCCGUCCUCCUCAGCUCUCAUCAUCGAGAAACAAUGCUCAACAAGAAAGAAAGGUGGAGAUCCUCUCUCAAGGGUGCGGCGGCUGAAACCUUUCUACUGAUGGCUUUUACUCAGCUGGUUCUUUCCAGCUUCCUCAGACCACCAGUUGCCAGGUCUGACGGUGACCAGUCACUGGGGUGCGCGGCUAACGAUGCCAAACGCAAGUUUGUUUCAUUCUGAAGCAGAUGAGCCAAAUGUUUCUGGGAGAUAUGGGACGUAGACGCCUGGGAGAAGCGGCUGGCAGAAGAUACAAAGCAGCAGUCAUCAAACAGGAAGUAGAGCAGCAGUACCCAGGUGUCUUCCUUCCCUUUUUCUGCCAGAACACUGAUUGUUUGUCAUCCCCAGCAAGCUCAACCCCCACUCUGGAGUGCCAUCAAAGGGCCCCUCCCCGGGGGUGUGAAUAAUGCAGUGACGGGGCUCUUCUUUGGAGUGCAAGGACACAUUUGGUCUUCAGAAUGACCUGGGUGGUGCCAUCAAUACCUUUGUGAAGAGGGCAGGAUGUCAAUGUAGGCAUCCCCUUCCACUCGAAGGUCAGCGCCAACUGAGAAACAUUAAACUAGUAACAAUAAUCUGGUGUUUUAAUGCCUUAGUCUGUUGAUGGUCUGCAAAUAUGAAAUUAUCCUUUGACUAUGUUUGUGAAAUACUGUUUCUCAGAGGUCAACAGGAAGCAUAGUGGUUAGAGUUGUUGCUUCUUGCACGAAGGCCCCAGGUUUGAACCGCACCACCUGUUGCAGUAUACUUUGGUCAAGGGUUAAUUGUCCAGCUGUAUGAACGGGUAUAUCAGCGUAAAUAGACAGUAGUAUCAGAUAAAUAAUGACAGGUUAAAAACUUUAUCACAUUACAUAACACAGUUCUUUAAGUUCUAUAAACUCUGAAAAAGUCAUGAACACCUGCAGCUUUGGAGUUACAGAAUCGUGAAGGUUAGUGAGUUUAUACACAAUGCAUGUGAUUAACAGGUAGUCAUUGCCAGUCGUCUGGUGUUCUAACUUCCCUCCAAAAAUUUCUAACAAAAUUCCAAUAAUUGCACACUUGACAUGAUUAUCGUGGAAAUUUUUAAGCUCAGUUUUCCCUCAUCCAUCGGCCUCCUUCAUGGCCAUGGUUCAAAUGCAGGAAGGGACAGAAGCACUCCCCAGGUUGAUGGCUGUUGCCAGGUUCUCCUUCUCCUCC